RNAcentral lists this ribosomal RNA (588 nucleotides) under uncultured bacterium. RNAcentral's name for it is "bacterial SSU rRNA". It matches the Rfam family "Bacterial small subunit ribosomal RNA", at positions 335 to 916 of the family's 1533-position model. The record is from RNAcentral.
AUUCCUACGGGAGGCAGCAGUGGGGAACUUUGGACAAUGGGGGCAACCCUGAUCCAGCCAUGCCGCGUGCGGGAAGAAGGCCUUCGGGUUGUAAACCGCCUUUAGCCGGGAAGAAAAGGCCACGGACAAUACCCGUGGUUCUUGACGGUACCGGCGGAAUAAGCACCGGCUAACUACGUGCCAGCAGCCGCGGUAAUACGUAGGGUGCGAGCGUUAAUCGGAAUUACUGGGCGUAAAGCGUGCGCAGGCGGUUCGUUAAGUUUGCGGUGAAAGCCCCGGGCUCAACCUGGGAAUGGCCGUGGAAACUGGCGGGCUGGAGUGCGGCAGAGGGGGGUGGAAUUCCGCGUGUAGCAGUGAAAUGCGUAGAGAUGCGGAAGAACACCGAUGGCGAAGGCGGCCCCCUGGGCCGACACUGACGCUCAGGCACGAAAGCGUGGGGAGCAAACAGGAUUAGAUACCCUGGUAGUCUACGCCCUAAACGAUGCUCACUAGGUGUUCGGGGAGCGAUCUCUGAGUACCGUAGCUAACGCGUGAAGUGAUCCGCCUGGGGAGUACGGUCGCAAGAUUAAAACUCAAAUGAAUUGACGG